RNAcentral lists this ribosomal RNA (373 nucleotides) under uncultured organism. Its description in RNAcentral is "partial 16S ribosomal RNA". It matches the Rfam family "Bacterial small subunit ribosomal RNA", at positions 527 to 896 of the family's 1533-position model. The record is from RNAcentral.
GUAGGUGGCAAGCGUUGUCCGGAAUUAUUGGGCGUAAAGCGCGCGCAGGCGGUUCUUUAAGUCUGAUGUGUAAGCCCACGGCUCAACCGUGGAGGGUCAUUGGAAACUGGAGAACUUGAGUACAGAAGAGGAAAGCGGAAUUCCACGUGUAGCGGUGAAAUGCGUAGAGAUGUGGAGGAACACCAGUGGCGAAGGCGGCUUUCUGGUCUGUAACUGACGCUGAGGCGCGAAAGCGUGGGGAGCAAACAGGAUUAGAUACCCUGGUAGUCCACGCCGUAAACGAUGAGUGCUAAGUGUUAGGGGGGUUUCCGCCCCCCUUAGUGCUGCAGCUAACGCAUUAAGCACUCCGCCUGGGAGUACGGCCGCAAGGCUG